GAGUUUGAUCAUGGCUCAGAUUGAACGCUGGCGGCAGGCCUAACACAUGCAAGUCGAACGGUAACAGGAAACAGCUUGCUGUUUCGCUGACGAGUGGCGGACGGGUGAGUAAUGUCUGGGAAACUGCCUGAUGGAGGGGGAUAACUACUGGAAACGGUAGCUAAUACCGCAUAACGUCGCAAGACCAAAGAGGGGGACCUUCGGGCCUCUUGCCAUCAGAUGUGCCCAGAUGGGAUUAGCUAGUAGGUGGGGUAACGGCUCACCUAGGCGACGAUCCCUAGCUGGUCUGAGAGGAUGACCAGCCACACUGGAACUGAGACACGGUCCAGACUCCUACGGGAGGCAGCAGUGGGGAAUAUUGCACAAUGGGCGCAAGCCUGAUGCAGCCAUGCCGCGUGUAUGAAGAAGGCCUUCGGGUUGUAAAGUACUUUCAGCGGGGAGGAAGGGAGUAAAGUUAAUACCUUUGCUCAUUGACGUUACCCGCAGAAGAAGCACCGGCUAACUCCGUGCCAGCAGCCGCGGUAAUACGGAGGGUGCAAGCGUUAAUCGGAAUUACUGGGCGUAAAGCGCACGCAGGCGGUUUGUUAAGUCAGAUGUGAAAUCCCCGGGCUCAACCUGGGAACUGCAUCUGAUACUGGCAAGCUUGAGUCUCGUAGAGGGGGGUAGAAUUCCCGGUGUAGCGGUGAAAUGCGUAGAGAUCUGGAGGAAUACCGGUGGCGAAGGCGGCCCCCUGGACGAAGACUGACGCUCAGGUGCGAAAGCGUGGGGAGCAAACAGGAUUAGAUACCCUGGUAGUCCACGCCGUAAACGAUGUCGACUUGGAGGUUGUGCCCUUGAGGCGUGGCUUCCGGAGCUAACGCGUUAAGUCGACCGCCUGGGGAGUACGGCCGCAAGGUUAAAACUCAAAUGAAUUGACGGGGGCCCGCACAAGCGGUGGAGCAUGUGGUUUAAUUCGAUGCAACGCGAAGAACCUUACCUGGUCUUGACAUCCACGGAAGUUUUCAGAGAUGAGAAUGUGCCUCCGGGAACCGUGAGACAGGUGCUGCAUGGCUGUCGUCAGCUCGUGUUGUGAAAUGUUGGGUUAAGUCCCGCAACGAGCGCAACCCUUAUCCUUUGUUGCCAGCGGUCCGGCCGGGAACUCAAAGGAGACUGCCAGUGAUAAACUGGAGGAAGGUGGGGAUGACGUCAAGUCAUCAUGCCCCUUACGACCAGGGCUACACACGUGCUACAAUGGCGCAUACAAAGAGAAGCGACCUCGCGAGAGCAAGCGGACCUCAUAAAGUGCGUCGUAGUCCGGAUUGGAGUCUGCAACUCGACUCCAUGAAGUCGGAAUCGCUAGUAAUCGUGGAUCAGAAUGCCACGGUGAAUACGUUCCCGGGCCUUGUACACACCGCCCGUCACACCAUGGGAGUGGGUCGCAAAAGAAGUAGGUAGCUUAACCUUCGGGAGGGCGCUUACCACUUUGUGAUUCAUGACUGGGGUGAAGUCGUAACAAGGUAACCGUAGGGGAACCUGCGGUUG
RNAcentral lists this ribosomal RNA (1521 nucleotides) under metagenome. Its description in RNAcentral is "bacterial SSU rRNA". It matches the Rfam family "Bacterial small subunit ribosomal RNA". The record is from RNAcentral.